RNAcentral lists this ribosomal RNA (395 nucleotides) under uncultured bacterium. Its description in RNAcentral is "bacterial SSU rRNA". It matches the Rfam family "Bacterial small subunit ribosomal RNA", at positions 505 to 898 of the family's 1533-position model. The record is from RNAcentral.
GUGCCAGCCGCCGCGGUAAUACGUGAGGGGCGAACGUUGUUCGGUGUCACUGGGCUUAAAGGGCGCGUAGGUGGCUGUGCAAGUAAGGUGUGAAAGCCCUCGGCUUACCCGGGGAAUUGCGCCUUAAACUGCAUGGCUUGAGGAUUUCAGGGGAAAGGGGAACUCCAGGUGUAGCGGUGAAAUGCGCAGAUAUCUGGGGGAAGGCCGGCGGCGAAGGCGCCUUUCUGGGAAAUUCCUGACACUGAGGCGCGAAAGCGUGGGGAGCAAACAGGAUUAGAUACCCUGGUAGUCCACGCCCUAAACGAUGGAUACUAAGUAGGGGACCCUGCAAGGGGUUCCUUGCCGGAGCAAAAGCGUUAAGUAUCCCGCCUGGGGAGUAUGGUCGCAAGGCUGAA